CUUGGAUGGCAGUCAUUCACUAAGACAAAAAAAAAAGUAAUAAACAUAAAUGAGAUAAGUAGAUCUGGAGAAUAAACUAAUUUGAUUUUGGACACAUUAAGUUUAAAAGAAAAAAAGAGAAAGAACUGGCAAGAAAAAAGAAAGAAAGAAAAAAAAAAUCUUGUGGGAGUCCUUAAUCUUUAUUCUGGCAACAGUUUUUAACCGGACAGCUGGAGCUGGGUGCUUGACUCUUCUGCCUUGCGAAUGUCCUGUCCACCCUGCCCAAGCCCUGGGAAGGCAGAACCGGCCUCUGCCGAGCUUGGCCUUCAGACACCUCCUCCGAGGCACGGCGUUCACUGUGAGCUUGUGGACAGUUCUUGUGAGCUCGAGCUAUAAGGAAGCUCCUUAAAUGACUCUGCUAGGCUGGAAUUCCCACUGCAAUGAUGAGUGAUGAUUGUUACUAUGACUGGACUGAGGCCAUGCUGCACCCUGGAAUGAUCCCUUAUGAUUUCAGAGGCUUGCCGAAUAUCAGGUGCCGGUGAGCAGGAGGAGUAGGAGAAGGCGGAAGAGAAAGAGGAGGAGGCAGAGGACGAAACAAAAGAAAGAAGCAGUCUACAAACAUAAAAGAGUACAAGGAAGAUGAGAAACGCAAAGGUUUUGGAUACCAUACUCCCCUGCUCUAAGAUACACUUUUCAUUUUCACAUCUGAAGAUCCCCGUCACCAGGAUUCAUCUCACAACUGAUGGCGCCCUCCCUCAGCUGUCAGCGCGAACUUUCACGACUCGAGUUCCUUGAAAACAAACCACACAUCCCUUCAUCUCUGCACCCCCUCCAGAGCCUUGCAGUCUUCACUGUCAUCACAUUCAAGCACAUGCUGCAUAAAGGAAGGAAGCGGGAAUGGAAUGGACAGGUAGCAUGCUGUGAAUAUAAAGACACUCAGUGGAUUCCUGGCCACUUGGACAGUGGAAGGGGAUUUUCUCAGAGCCACCAAAACCAAUAUUCUAGGCUCACCUAACAUAAUGUAACUGAGAAUUCUUGGUUCUAAUUUGAGGCACCUGAUACAUAAAGGAAGGCGCAUAGGAUGGAGGCCCCAGAGACCGUAUUUAUUACUCAAUGGGGCAGGAAAUUGGGAGAAGGCUCUGGUGUCCAGGAGAAGAGUUCAGGCCAGUGGAUUAAGCCCCAUCAUGAGCCAGGAACUGAGCUAGUCCUGGCUGAAAAUGCAACCACAGCACACACUUCUGCUCUCAAGGGGCUUAGGGUUCGGCGGGGGAGAGACUUACAUAAUACACAUGUGAGACAGUCACAAGUGCGAGAAGCCAUGUCUGCUCAUUUGUGCUUGUCAAGAUAAUUUCACACAGUCCCUGAAUCUGUGAGGCCAUGCAGCUCUUUGGGAAGAUGCUUUGAAGACAAAACAGGAUGGACCACAUGGCUCCCACACCACUUGCCUGAGUCACUAUGCUCCUUAAAAGAUGAAUGACCCUAGCCUUGACUUUUCCUACACAGAAGAUAACGUUUGACAGGGUUAGUGACUAUGCCUCUGUAAUUCAUUACUAAAUGCAUUUUAGUCAUCUAUAACCAGAUAUACUCUGGCACCCAGACUUUGACGUGAUUUUGCACGUACUGAACCUUCACCACCCGUCCAUAAACUGUGAGCUGAAACACCACAUUGGAGCCUCUGAUGGAACUGCUCCCGGGCUGUAGACCUCCAUCUACAGUCUUCGGUAAGGCUUCUGAAUAAAACUAACUUUAAUUCUUUAAAAGUUUGAUUUGUU
This 1751-nucleotide long non-coding RNA is filed under the name Homo sapiens (human). RNAcentral describes it as "HSALNT0116406". The record is from RNAcentral. Lineage: Eukaryota; Metazoa; Chordata; Mammalia; Primates; Hominidae.